This is a long non-coding RNA of Theobroma cacao (cacao), 1124 nucleotides long. RefSeq lists it as uncharacterized. NCBI's taxonomy places the organism in Eukaryota, Viridiplantae, Streptophyta, Magnoliopsida, Malvales, Malvaceae. The record is from RefSeq and is a predicted model, not a curated record.
GGCGAAAAUAGGAUUCCAAUCCAUCGUCCUCGACUCCACUUUCUUCCCUCGCUUCCUUCUCUUCACUCUUUCUUGAUCGACAGAAAAACCAAUCAAAUUCAGCUCAUAAGUAUUCUUUUUCUUUAGGUGUCCUUCUUCAAUGGCUUCCUCCAAGCGACUCUCCUUCUCCAAAAGCAACUCCAAGAUCUUUGGAAGAAACCGGUUGAUGGAUUCUCAGCGGAGUUGCUUGAUGACAAUGUUCUUGAAUGGAUUGUUAUAAUUACGGGGCCCCAAAUACUCUCCAGGAUGUAAUUUUAAUUCUUUUUCUUUCUUUUUUAAACAUUCUUUUUUGAUGAUUAAUCAGUUCUAUCAUUGUAGUCCAAUUACAAUGAUGUUUUUGAUUAUGGUGUGGAAUUUUUACUUAGGGAUGAUAAAUCUUAGUAGGAUUAAAGAUUAUCGAUUUGGUUUUGACAUUAAGAAUUUGUUCAAUAUGAUGGAGGAGAGGUGAUUCUGACCUUAAACCUUAACUCUCAUAAGAAUUUGUUCAAUAGGAUUAAAGAUAAUGAGCGGUAGCCUAAGCUUGGGUUGUUAUUUUAUUGAGAUUGCCAUGGAUCCUGUUUCUUGUUUCAUGAUUUUGUAGAUUUUUGUGAUGGGGGCACUUCGAUGCCAUCUUUAGCUUUCCAUCAGAUUACCCAGCAAACCCUCCAACUGUAAGGUUUAUCUCAAAGAUGUGGCAUCCUAAUGGCUGCAAGUGGUGGAACAAGGAUUUUGUCACUUGCACUCCUGGAUCAUGCAUGGUCCAGGGAUGGAGGAUGAAUGCUGAAGGGAUAGGGACAUGGUUGAAAGUAUAUUUCUGGGCAUCAUGUCAAUGCUCUCUAGCCCUGAUGAUGAAAUCCCGCCAAUGAGGAUGCUGCAAUGGAAUGGAGGAAUAGAAGGGAGGAGUUUGAGCAGAAAGUCAAGCAGUGUGUGGUAGCAUCGCUGCAAGAUCAUCAAGCAGCAGAUCAAAGUUAAUAACAUCUAUCCCUAUAAAAAUACCGUGUACUUUCUUCUUGCCGACUGGUGACCAUCAAAGUAUAUCGAACCAUGUUGAAUACCGUAUGUCACAAAAAUAACAUCAAAGUAUGUCACACCACAUUGAUGUGUCA